AAGUCGUAACAAGGUUUCCGUAGGUGAACCUGCGGAAGGAUCAUUACCGAGUUCCUGCCCUCUGGGUAGAUCUCCCACCCUUGCUUAUCUUACCCAUGUUGCUUUGGCGGUCCGCCCUCGCGGCCACCGGCUCCCGCUGGUGCGCGGCCGCCAGAGAAUCACACAACGCUACAUACCUGUAUCGUCUGAGUCAAAUACAAAUAGUUAAAACUUUCAACAACGGAUCUCUUGGUUCUG
RNAcentral lists this unclassified non-coding RNA (237 nucleotides) under fungal sp. Its description in RNAcentral is "partial internal transcribed spacer region". The stretch from base 1 to 46 matches the Rfam family "Eukaryotic small subunit ribosomal RNA", at positions 1786 to 1831 of the family's 1831-position model. The record is from RNAcentral. Lineage: Eukaryota; Fungi.